Molecule: long non-coding RNA, 180 nt
Filed under: Cyanistes caeruleus (blue tit)
Lineage: Eukaryota; Metazoa; Chordata; Aves; Passeriformes; Paridae
Description: lncRNA (ENSCCEG00000010833.1)
Source: RNAcentral
GCCAAGACAUACUGCUCUCGUUGAAAUGAUCUACUGCUUCCUUUCUGUUUCCACAGGGCUUGCUACACUGCUCUCACUUCUCUUCAGCGUGGCUGCUGUUCUUCACUUCUCCCUGAGACAUUAUUGAAGAGAAAUAAGAGAUUAGAGGAAGAAAUUGAAUUUAGAUCAGAGGCAAUUGUG